This is a non-coding RNA of Labrus bergylta (ballan wrasse), 412 nucleotides long. The record is from RefSeq and is a predicted model, not a curated record. Lineage: Eukaryota; Metazoa; Chordata; Actinopteri; Labriformes; Labridae.
CAUUAGCAGCCUAACAGAAGAGAAGAAGAGAAAGAAACACAGUUAGAAAAAGAUCUGAUGUGUGUACAGUUCAGAUGUUUGACUCCACUUACUAACUGUUACCUGAAGUAAUGUUUUCCAUACAGGUUCCACUUCAGACUAACCAGCUGCCUCACAGGGGUCACUUCCAGGAUCCCUCUGGCCUGGAUACCAACAAAAUAAUCACUUAAAUGUCUCCUCAGGCGAAACCUCAGCUGGCUCCACCAAUGGUUGAGCUCGCUGGGAGCAGAUCUGGCCAGAGACGGAGACAUUGACACCUGAUGUUCGACUGGAAGGAACUCAGGAGAGAAGAAACCAGACACAACAAGCAGAGGAAUGUGAAGACCACAGAAGUCCAUGGCACAGGGUGUGAUGUGGGUGGAUUUCACACCUC